UGAACGCUAGCGACAGGCCUAACACAUGCAAGUCAGGGGCAGCACAAGGAGCAAUCUGAGGUGGCGACCGGCGCACGGGUGAGUAACACGUAUGCAACCUGCCUGUAAGCGGGGAAUAACCCGUUGAAAGACGGACUAAUACCGCAUAAUACUAAAUUACUGCAUGGUAAUUUAUUUAACAUUUAUGGCUUACAGAUGGGCAUGCGCAUGAUUAGCUAGUUGGAGAGGUAACGGCUCCCCAAGGCAACGAUCAUUAGGGGUUCUGAGAGGAAGGUCCCCCCACACUGGUACUGAGACACGGACCAGACUCCUACGGGAGGCAGCGGUGAGGAAUAUUGGUCAAUGGACGAGAGUCUGAACCAGCCAAGUCGCGUGCAGGAAGAAUGUCCCUAUGGAUUGUAAACUGCUUUUGCAGGGGAAUAAAGUGCAUCACGUGUGAUGUUUUGUAUGUACUCUGCGAAUAAGGAUCGGCUAACUCCGUGCCAGCCGCCGC
RNAcentral lists this ribosomal RNA (493 nucleotides) under uncultured bacterium. RNAcentral's name for it is "bacterial SSU rRNA". It matches the Rfam family "Bacterial small subunit ribosomal RNA", at positions 30 to 518 of the family's 1533-position model. The record is from RNAcentral.